AUUGAACGCUGGCGGCAUGCUUUACACAUGCAAGUCGAACGGCAGCGCGGGCUUCGGCCUGGCGGCGAGUGGCGAACGGGUGAGUAAUGCAUCGGAACGUGCCCAGUAGUGGGGGAUAGCCCGGCGAAAGCCGGAUUAAUACCGCAUACGACCUGAGGGUGAAAGCGGGGGACCGAAAGGCCUCGCGCUAUUGGAGCGGCCGAUGUCGGAUUAGCUAGUUGGUGGGGUAAAGGCUUACCAAGGCGACGAUCCGUAGCUGGUCUGAGAGGACGACCAGCCACACUGGGACUGGGACACGGCCCAGACUCCUACGGGAGGCAGCAGUGGGGAAUUUUGGACAAUGGGGGCAACCCUGAUCCAGCCAUGCGGCGUGCGGGAAGAAGGCCUUCGGGUUGUAAACCGCUUUUGUUCGGGAAGAAAUCCUCUGGGCUAAUACCCCGGGGGGAUGACGGUACCGGAAGAAUAAGCACCGGCUAACUACGU
This 483-nucleotide ribosomal RNA is filed under the name uncultured bacterium. RNAcentral describes it as "partial 16S ribosomal RNA". It matches the Rfam family "Bacterial small subunit ribosomal RNA", at positions 28 to 506 of the family's 1533-position model. The record is from RNAcentral.